Molecule: ribosomal RNA, 2774 nt
Filed under: Escherichia coli
Lineage: Bacteria; Pseudomonadati; Pseudomonadota; Gammaproteobacteria; Enterobacterales; Enterobacteriaceae
Also listed under: 1 other name
Description: bacterial LSU rRNA
Rfam family: Bacterial large subunit ribosomal RNA
Source: RNAcentral
AGCGUACACGGUGGAUGCCCUGGCAGUCAGAGGCGAUGAAGGACGUGCUAAUCUGCGAUAAGCGUCGGUAAGGUGAUAUGAACCGUUAUAACCGGCGAUUUCCGAAUGGGGAAACCCAGUGUGUUUCGACACACUAUCAUUAACUGAAUCCAUAGGUUAAUGAGGCGAACCGGGGGAACUGAAACAUCUAAGUACCCCGAGGAAAAGAAAUCAACCGAGAUUCCCCCAGUAGCGGCGAGCGAACGGGGAGGAGCCCAGAGCCUGAAUCAGUGUGUGUGUUAGUGGAAGCGUCUGGAAAGGCGCGCGAUACAGGGUGACAGCCCCGUACACAAAAAUGCACAUGCUGUGAGCUCGAUGAGUAGGGCGGGACACGUGGUAUCCUGUCUGAAUAUGGGGGGACCAUCCUCCAAGGCUAAAUACUCCUGACUGACCGAUAGUGAACCAGUACCGUGAGGGAAAGGCGAAAAGAACCCCGGCGAGGGGAGUGAAAAAGAACCUGAAACCGUGUACGUACAAGCAGUGGGAGCACAGAGCAAUCUGUGUGACUGCGUACCUUUUGUAUAAUGGGUCAGCGACUUAUAUUCUGUAGCAAGGUUAACCGAAUAGGGGAGCCGAAGGGAAACCGAGUCUUAACUGGGCGUUAAGUUGCAGGGUAUAGACCCGAAACCCGGUGAUCUAGCCAUGGGCAGGUUGAAGGUUGGGUAACACUAACUGGAGGACCGAACCGACUAAUGUUGAAAAAUUAGCGGAUGACUUGUGGCUGGGGGUGAAAGGCCAAUCAAACCGGGAGAUAGCUGGUUCUCCCCGAAAGCUAUUUAGGUAGCGCCUCGUGAAUUCAUCUCCGGGGGUAGAGCACUGUUUCGGCAAGGGGGUCAUCCCGACUUACCAACCCGAUGCAAACUGCGAAUACCGGAGAAUGUUAUCACGGGAGACACACGGCGGGUGCUAACGUCCGUCGUGAAGAGGGAAACAACCCAGACCGCCAGCUAAGGUCCCAAAGUCAUGGUUAAGUGGGAAACGAUGUGGGAAGGCCCAGACAGCCAGGAUGUUGGCUUAGAAGCAGCCAUCAUUUAAAGAAAGCGUAAUAGCUCACUGGUCGAGUCGGCCUGCGCGGAAGAUGUAACGGGGCUAAACCAUGCACCGAAGCUGCGGCAGCGACACUGUGUGUUGUUGGGUAGGGGAGCGUUCUGUAAGCCUGUGAAGGUGUGCUGUGAGGCAUGCUGGAGGUAUCAGAAGUGCGAAUGCUGACAUAAGUAACGAUAAAGCGGGUGAAAAGCCCGCUCGCCGGAAGACCAAGGGUUCCUGUCCAACGUUAAUCGGGGCAGGGUGAGUCGACCCCUAAGGCGAGGCCGAAAGGCGUAGUCGAUGGGAAACAGGUUAAUAUUCCUGUACUUGGUGUUACUGCGAAGGGGGGACGGAGAAGGCUAUGUUGGCCGGGCGACGGUUGUCCCGGUUUAAGCGUGUAGGCUGGUUUUCCAGGCAAAUCCGGAAAAUCAAGGCUGAGGCGUGAUGACGAGGCACUACGGUGCUGAAGCAACAAAUGCCCUGCUUCCAGGAAAAGCCUCUAAGCAUCAGGUAACAUCAAAUCGUACCCCAAACCGACACAGGUGGUCAGGUAGAGAAUACCAAGGCGCUUGAGAGAACUCGGGUGAAGGAACUAGGCAAAAUGGUGCCGUAACUUCGGGAGAAGGCACGCUGAUAUGUAGGUGAAGUCCCUCGCGGAUGGAGCUGAAAUCAGUCGAAGAUACCAGCUGGCUGCAACUGUUUAUUAAAAACACAGCACUGUGCAAACACGAAAGUGGACGUAUACGGUGUGACGCCUGCCCGGUGCCGGAAGGUUAAUUGAUGGGGUCAGCGCAAGCGAAGCUCUUGAUCGAAGCCCCGGUAAACGGCGGCCGUAACUAUAACGGUCCUAAGGUAGCGAAAUUCCUUGUCGGGUAAGUUCCGACCUGCACGAAUGGCGUAAUGAUGGCCAGGCUGUCUCCACCCGAGACUCAGUGAAAUUGAACUCGCUGUGAAGAUGCAGUGUACCCGCGGCAAGACGGAAAGACCCCGUGAACCUUUACUAUAGCUUGACACUGAACAUUGAGCCUUGAUGUGUAGGAUAGGUGGGAGGCUUUGAAGUGUGGACGCCAGUCUGCAUGGAGCCGACCUUGAAAUACCACCCUUUAAUGUUUGAUGUUCUAACGUGGACCCGUGAUCCGGGUUGCGGACAGUGUCUGGUGGGUAGUUUGACUGGGGCGGUCUCCUCCUAAAGAGUAACGGAGGAGCACGAAGGUUGGCUAAUCCUGGUCGGACAUCAGGAGGUUAGUGCAAUGGCAUAAGCCAGCUUGACUGCGAGCGUGACGGCGCGAGCAGGUGCGAAAGCAGGUCAUAGUGAUCCGGUGGUUCUGAAUGGAAGGGCCAUCGCUCAACGGAUAAAAGGUACUCCGGGGAUAACAGGCUGAUACCGCCCAAGAGUUCAUAUCGACGGCGGUGUUUGGCACCUCGAUGUCGGCUCAUCACAUCCUGGGGCUGAAGUAGGUCCCAAGGGUAUGGCUGUUCGCCAUUUAAAGUGGUACGCGAGCUGGGUUUAGAACGUCGUGAGACAGUUCGGUCCCUAUCUGCCGUGGGCGCUGGAGAACUGAGGGGGGCUGCUCCUAGUACGAGAGGACCGGAGUGGACGCAUCACUGGUGUUCGGGUUGUCAUGCCAAUGGCACUGCCCGGUAGCUAAAUGCGGAAGAGAUAAGUGCUGAAAGCAUCUAAGCACGAAACUUGCCCCGAGAUGAGUUCU